AAAGAAUUAGUUAAAAAAUAACAUAAAUAUGUCAAAUUUAAAUUAUUAUUUACAUAUAAUAUUCUUUU
This 68-nucleotide transfer RNA is filed under the name Opisina arenosella. Its description in RNAcentral is "tRNA-Asp". The record is from RNAcentral. Lineage: Eukaryota; Metazoa; Arthropoda; Insecta; Lepidoptera; Oecophoridae.